This 441-nucleotide ribosomal RNA is filed under the name uncultured bacterium. Its description in RNAcentral is "partial 16S ribosomal RNA". It matches the Rfam family "Bacterial small subunit ribosomal RNA", at positions 30 to 507 of the family's 1533-position model. The record is from RNAcentral.
UGAACGCUGGCGGCAUGCCUAACACAUGCAAGUCGAUCGGUAAGGCUCUUCGGAGUACACGAGAGGCGGACGGCUGAGUAACGCGUAGGAACACACCCUGCAGUGAGGGAUAAGACACCGAAAGGUGUUCUAAUACCGCAUACGGUCUUCGGAUUAAAGCAUUUAUGCGCUGAAGGAGUGGCCUGCGUCAUAUUAGAUAGUUGGUGAGGUAAUGGCUCACCAAGUCGAUGAUGUGUAGCUGGUCUGAGAGGAUGAUCAGCCAGACUGGAACUGAGACACGGUCCAGACUCCUACGGGAGGCAGCAGUGAGGAAUAUUUCACAAUGAGCGAAAGCUUGAUGGAGCAAUGCCGCGUGCAGGAUGAAGGCCCUCGGGUUGUAAACUGCUUUUAUAAGAGAAGAUUAUGACGGUAACUUAUGAAUAAGGGACGGCUAACUACGUG